AGCUCAGUGGAGUUGCGCUUUCUCUCCCCAGACUCCUGUCCUCAUGUUGCUUGUCCCAAUCAGGCGGGUCUGGGUCUCCCAGGCGUGUCUGAAACCAAACUGCUCGGUGCACUCCUUCCUCUCUGCCCCCCACCUUCCCAGCUUCCUAAACAGCAGCUCGGAAUCCCGCACUUCAGCCCCGAUCCCUGGCCACUGCCUCCCGCCCAGCAGCAGGUCUCGCGGCUUUCCUUUCUACAUGCAGUCCGGCAGUUAGGCGAGCGGCUCCUCCUGGUGGUGGCGGCGGCUGGGCGGGGACUGCUGGCGGAGGGGCAGGUGCCAUUUCUCGGACUUGGUGCUCUUCGGCAGGUGGGUUUGGGCUAUAAGCUUCACCAGAGUGCACGCACGUAUACCAGUGAGCUUUUUUGUCGUAAUGCUGCUCAGCAGUCACGAGCUAAUGAAUGCGUGACUGUCGCACCUGUGUCCCUCCCAGCCAGCCCUGGGCUCAGGCCGUGUGGUGGUUUACCUGCACCAUCGCCGUCUCAGCUGGCUCCGCACCCCUGCGGUCCGGCUUCCCCAAGCAGGCUGGGGAAUCCGAUUUCAUCUCAGUUCAGAUUCUGUCUGUCUGUCCUGCAUUGCAAGCACUCCAGGGGUCUCUGCCUCACUCAGGGGCCCAUAGAUCCACCUGUCCCCCCUCAAAAAACUUGUGGACCCCUCUUCUCCUGUGCCCCACUUCCUCGAGGCAGCCGCGUGGGGCUCCUUGCCUGCUUGCAGCUCGCCACGCACGCUCUCAUCUCAGGCCUUCCCAGCUGCUCUUGCCUUUGCCAUAGAGCCACACGAGGCUCCGUCCGUUAUUUCCUUCUGGUCUGCCCAGUGCCGCUCUGCCAGGUAAGCCACCCUGAACACCCCGGGAGGAGGCGAUACCCACCCCACCCCCUCCCUGCGUAUUCCCCUCUGUGGCCGUUGGGGCCACGCACAUCCUUCACUGGUUCGUGUGCCACCGUCCGCACCCCCUCUGGGACCUGGGGUUUGGUCCCCUGCACUGUGCUGGUGCCUGGAAGGGAGUAG
This 1044-nucleotide long non-coding RNA is filed under the name Oryctolagus cuniculus (rabbit). Its description in RNAcentral is "lncRNA (ENSOCUG00000035442.1)". The record is from RNAcentral. Lineage: Eukaryota; Metazoa; Chordata; Mammalia; Lagomorpha; Leporidae.